ACGGAAGGCAGCAGUCGGGAAUUUUGCGCAAUGGAGGAAACUCUGACGCAGUGACGCCGCGUGCAGGAAGAAGGUUUUCGGAUUGUAAACUGCUUUAGACAGGGAAGAAACAAGACAGUACCUGUAGAAUAAGCUCCGGCUAACUACGUGCCAGCAGCCGCGGUAAUACGUAGGGAGCAAGCGUUAUCCGGAUUUAUUGGGUGUAAAGGGUGCGUAGACGGGAAAAUAAGUUAGCUGUGAAAUCCCUCGGCUCAACCGAGGAACUGCAACUAAAACUGUUUUUCUUGAGUGCUGGAGAGGAAAGUGGAAUUCCUAGUGUAGCGGUGAAAUGCGUAGAUAUUAGGAGGAACACCAGUGGCGAAGGCGACUUUCUGGACAGUAACUGACGUUGAGGCACGAAAGUGUGGGGAGCAAACAGGAUUAGAUACCCUGGUA
Molecule: ribosomal RNA, 435 nt
Rfam family: Bacterial small subunit ribosomal RNA